This 291-nucleotide ribosomal RNA is filed under the name uncultured bacterium. RNAcentral's name for it is "partial 16S ribosomal RNA". It matches the Rfam family "Bacterial small subunit ribosomal RNA", at positions 506 to 796 of the family's 1533-position model. The record is from RNAcentral.
UGCCAGCAGCCGCGGUAAUACAGAGGGUGCAAGCGUUAAUCGGAAUUACUGGGCGUAAAGGGUGUGUAGGUGGUUAUGUAAGUUAGAUGUGAAAUCCCCGGGCUUAACCUGGGAACUGCGUUUAAAACUGCGUAGCUAGAGUAUUGCAGAGGGUAGUGGAAUUUCCAGUGUAGCGGUGAAAUGCGUAGAUAUUGGAAGGAACACCAGUGGCGAAGGCGACUACCUGGGCAAAUACUGACACUGAGACACGAAAGCGUGGGGAGCAAACAGGAUUAGAUACCCUGGUAGUCC